CACCACAGCAACCCCUGCUCUGCCUAAGUGCUUCUGAUUAGUGACCCAUGACUUAAAGACGCUGAUGAAUCUACGCCUACACGGAUCGAACGUAGCCCCAAUCAGACCACCGGCUUCAGCGAAACACUUCUGUCACAAACUUCAUCCCUCAUUCAUUGAGAACUUAAUCUCUCCGUUAAAACAACGAUUAGAUGCUGAAAAAAUGCUGUUGCGUGUAGACGGAGGAAAAGAGAGACUUUGCGGCCAGCCAAUUUUUGGGAUUUCCAUUGAAACCCUGCACAGGAU
Paramisgurnus dabryanus is the source of this 285-nucleotide long non-coding RNA. RefSeq lists it as uncharacterized. The record is from RefSeq and is a predicted model, not a curated record. Lineage: Eukaryota; Metazoa; Chordata; Actinopteri; Cypriniformes; Cobitidae.